AAAAUGCGAUAAGUAAUGUGAAUUGCAGAAUUCAGUGAAUCAUCGAAUCUUUGAACGCACAUUGCGCCCGCCAGUAUUCUGGCGGGCAUGCCUGUUCGAGCGUCAUUUCAACCCUCAAGCCCCCGGGUUUGGUGUUGGGGAUCGGGUUGCGGUUCUGCCGCGGCCCGGCCCCGAAAUCUAGUGGCGGUCUCGCUGCAGCCUCCAUUGCGUAGUAGCUAACACCUCGCAACUGGAACGCGGCGCGGCCAAGCCGUUAAACCCCCAACUUCUGAAUGUUGACCUCGGAUCAGGUAGGAAUACCCGCUGAACUUAAGC
Molecule: unclassified non-coding RNA, 315 nt
Filed under: plant metagenome
Description: partial contains 5.8S ribosomal RNA, internal transcribed spacer 2, and large subunit ribosomal RNA
Rfam family: 5.8S ribosomal RNA (bases 1-105)
Source: RNAcentral